Ochotona princeps (American pika) is the source of this 87-nucleotide microRNA precursor. Ensembl annotates it as microRNA 200a. Its record names the gene MIR200A. The record is from Ensembl. NCBI's taxonomy places the organism in Eukaryota, Metazoa, Chordata, Mammalia, Lagomorpha, Ochotonidae.
GGGCCUCUGUGGGCAUCUUACUGGACAGUGCUGGAUUUCUUGGCUCGACUCUAACACUGUCUGGUAACGAUGUUCAAGGUGACCCAC